UGGGAAUUUUGCGCAUGGGCGAAAGCCUGACGCAGCGACGCCGCGUGAGGGAUGAAGGCCUUCGAGGUUGUAAACCUCUGUCAGGAAGGAUUAAAGUCUAAGGGUUAAUACCCCUUUGGAUUUGACUUAACUUCCAGAGGAAGCCCCGGCUAACUCCGUGCCAGCAGCCGCGGUAACACGGAGGGGGCGAGCGUUGUUCGGAAUUACUGGGCGUAAAGCGCACGUAGGCGGACUUUUAAGUCAGAUGUGAAAUCCCGGGGCUCAACCUCGGAACUGCAUUUGAAACUGGGAGUCUAGAGGUCAGGAGAGGUUCGUGGAAUGCCGAGUGUAGAGGUGAAAUUCGUAGAUAUUCGGUGGAACACCAGUGGCGAAGGUGACGAACUGGACUGAUACUGACGCUGAGGUGCGAAAGUGUGGGGAGCAAACAGGAUUAGAUACCCUGGUAGUCCACACCGUAAACGAUGUCUACUAGCCGUUGGGGAACUUGAUUCUUUGGUGGCGCAGUUAACGCGAUAAGUAGACCGCUGGGGAGUACGCCGCAAGGU
This 545-nucleotide ribosomal RNA is filed under the name uncultured soil bacterium. RNAcentral's name for it is "bacterial SSU rRNA". It matches the Rfam family "Bacterial small subunit ribosomal RNA", at positions 356 to 894 of the family's 1533-position model. The record is from RNAcentral.